AGGUGAUUUGUAUUCACCACCAUUAAGGGCAGUGCUCACCGCUCUGUCCUGCAGGCUGGCUGCACACCACAGGGAACUGCUCGUUGACCCCAAGCUUUCCUCUGCCCAAUUAUCCUGGUUAGCUUGCAGGCAGCCUCGGGAGCGGGGCAGGGAACAGGUCACACCGAGGGACUCGUCCUCCCGUGCCCCUGCCUGCCCUCAGGCUGGGGGCAGGUGCUGGGCAGGGGUGGCUCCUGGAGGGUGUCAGGUCACAGCAGCCUCAAAGCCAGUUGGGAAGAGGAAAGUUCCAGUCCUGGGACACCCCUUGAGCACCUGCACUGGAGCCCAACGCCUGCGAGACCUCAAGGGCCGGAGCUGUUCCAGUGCUGUGAUUCCCAUCCAGAAGCCCCAAAAGUGGACGUGGGGGUGAAACUGGGAGACCUGAGACCCGCUGCCACCCACGAGCACGCCUAAUUCCUAUUUUCCUCCAAGCCCAUCCCGAGCAUCUCCCUGUGCUGCCAGAGCAGAGAUUUGUUCUCCAUCUGGGAAUAUUGGUGCCUUCUGGAGCAGCCCUGAACUCUCCAUUAGACCAGUUGCUUUCUGAUUUGGAGGGGAGCAAAGAGUUAAAAUUUAUUCCAUCCACCUGUAUAUUUUCCCAAGCCUUCUGAUAGCAAUCAAGAAUGCAGGAAAUGGUGUAUUUAAGGGGUGAAUUUGCCAAAACUGUGCCACAAGUCAAACUUAUAAAGCAAAGUUUAUUUGUAAAGUUACAGAAGGCUGAAGUAUCUCCUGUUGAAGGGGCAAGUGCUGGAGCUCAUCAAGGCACAGAUCAGCCCUGCUGGGUUAUAGAGGGACCUUUGACUGUUGACUGGGAUCAUUUCAGCUCGUUUGGAGCCCUGUGAGGGACCUGACAGGG
This is a long non-coding RNA of Manacus vitellinus (golden-collared manakin), 892 nucleotides long. RefSeq lists it as uncharacterized. NCBI's taxonomy places the organism in Eukaryota, Metazoa, Chordata, Aves, Passeriformes, Pipridae. The record is from RefSeq and is a predicted model, not a curated record. The transcript has 4 exons.